RNAcentral lists this ribosomal RNA (558 nucleotides) under uncultured bacterium. RNAcentral's name for it is "partial 16S ribosomal RNA". It matches the Rfam family "Bacterial small subunit ribosomal RNA", at positions 355 to 936 of the family's 1533-position model. The record is from RNAcentral.
UGGGGAAUAUUGGACAAUGGGCGCAAGCCUGAUCCAGCCAUGCCGCGUGAGUGAUGAAGGCCCUAGGGUUGUAAAGCUCUUUCACCGGUGAAGAUAAUGACGGUAACCGGAGAAGAAGCCCCGGCUAACUUCGUGCCAGCAGCCGCGGUAAUACGAAGGGGGCUAGCGUUGUUCGGAUUUACUGGGCGUAAAGCGCACGUAGGCGGACUUUUAAGUCAGGGUGAAAUCCCGGGGCUCAACCCCGGAACUGCCUUUGAUACUGGAAGUCUUGAGUAUGGUAGAGGUGAGUGGAAUUCCGAGUGUAGAGGUGAAAUUCGUAGAUAUUCGGAGGAACACCAGUGGCGAAGGCGGCUCACUGGACCAUUACUGACGCUGAGGUGCGAAAGCGUGGGGAGCAAAACAGGAUUAGAUACCCUGGUAGUCCACGCCGUAAACGAUGAAUGUUAGCCGUUGGGGAGUUUACUCUUCGGUGGCGCAGCUAACGCAUUAAACAUUCCGCCUGGGGAGUACGGUCGCAAGAUUAAAACUCAAAGGAAUUGACGGGGUCAUAGCUGUUUU